UACGAAGGGGGCUAGCGUUGUUCGGAAUCACUGGGCGUAAAGCGCGCGUAGGCGGAUUGUUAAGUCGGGGGUGAAAUCCUGAGGCUCAACCUCAGAACUGCCUUCGAUACUGGCGAUCUUGAGUCCGGGAGAGGUGAGUGGAAUUCCUAGUGUAGAGGUGAAAUUCGUAGAUAUUAGGAAGAACACCAGUGGCGAAGGCGGCUCACUGGCCCGGUACUGACGCUGAGGCGCGAAAGCGUGGGGAGCAAACAGG
Molecule: ribosomal RNA, 253 nt
Filed under: uncultured bacterium
Lineage: Bacteria
Description: partial 16S ribosomal RNA
Rfam family: Bacterial small subunit ribosomal RNA
Source: RNAcentral